GUGAUAGUGAAUAAGUCUCAUGAGAUCUGAGUUUCCCUGCAGUCUCUCUUUGCCUGCUGCCAUCCACGUAAGAUGUGACUUGCUCCUCCUUGCCUUCUUCCAUGAUUGUGAGGCCUCCCCAGCCAUGUGGAACUGUAAGUCCAAUUAAACCUCUUUCUUUUGUAAAUUGCCCAGUCUUGGGUAUGUCUUUAUCAGCAGCAUGAAAACGGAAUACACACCAUGUAUAAGGAACCUGGAUGCAGUAAGUGCUCAACAAACAGUAGUUAUUGCAAUAGGAGCUGAUGUGGCUACUAUUCCCAACUUCUGCAGGGGUUGAAAUGUCUUAGCUAAACAAGGGGAUUCUUUUAAGCUAGUUAAUUGGCUAUUUAAAACAUUUUCAAAAUUGGCCAGUAAAAAAAUUAAUCUCUAGUUAAUUAUCAGCUCCUAUUUUUCUGUUUUCUACCUGGCAAUUUUUGCAAAACACCCUCCUCUCUCCUGCUUCACUCUAUGAUAUGCUACAGUUGAUCCAGGUUGCUUUAUCUCCCAUUUCACAUUUUUGUAAAUGUGAUUAUUUAACUGUGUAAAGUGUUAUGGGAUAUGUUUGGAAUGAAAGUCACUUUUCAAAUAGAAAUGAAGUUGGCAUAUAUUGCAUUUAAAUCUCUAGUGGGGAGCCGUAGGGGGAUGAGAGAGAAGUACACUCAGAUAUACUUGGGUUUGGGCUUAGAGAAAUCUUCUCUCCUCUUUCCUGGCUGGCCAAGAUAAUAUUACUAACAGAAAUCUCCUUGGGAAGGAAAAAGUCCUUUGAUGCUUAUGAUGCAAAUUGAAAAUGCAGAGGGAAAUGAGAGCUGAGCUCCUGGGCUUUCCCACUCUGCUCCUCCCCAGAACUGUGAAAAAGACAAACACAUACUUUUGCAAGUUCUAUUGCCACAUCUGAAAAGACAAGAAGAAUUUUGUGUUGGUGGUGGAAAGAGUGACAGGGAUGAGCCAGUCCCUAGUGUACAGGCAGAUGUGGGGCUGGGGCAAGGAAACUGAUAGAUUUGAAAAAUGAAGCAAGAGUGAAGAUCCUUUUAAUCAAAGAAACCAACAGAGGCAUGGAAUUGUAACUGACCACCAACCUGUUGGAUAUCAACUCUUGGCAAGAGGGGGCAGACUGGGCAGCUGGACAUGGUUUGGGAACCCUAGUUACAGGGGUGAAGGGUUUUGCUCACUUCUCUCCACCAGGACACCAAGGCAGCUGCCAGAGCACAUGGUGCCCAUGAGGAAAUGAGAAAAUAGGCAUCUGCCCCACACCCCAGGGCAGAAAUAGGGGCACCCAGCUGGACUGACGUCCCCUUGUGAGCUAUGGAUGCAGACCUGGAUCCACCAUGCGUGCCAUGCAGGGCCAUGUGCCCCAGGCCCCCUUCAAGGAAGGACUGCCCAACUGUGGGAGUGUCCUUCAAAAGGUCACCCCUUCCUGGGGCUGCCGGGCACAGACUGGGGCAGGCUGGGCCCGAAGGCUGGGCUGGGAGGGCAGGAUCAGCUGCCGGCUGAGCCUCUUGCCAGCUGGCCUCAGCCACCCACCCCCCGGCCCUCUUGCUAUUCCUGCUUCUCCCGUCCACUUCCUUUGACAGCUGUUGGUCCCUAAUAAUAUGUCAGGCCCCAAAUUCCACUUCAGCAGCUGCUUUUGAAGAGCCCGAUGACGACUCCACGUUCUCCCUCUCAGUCCAGCUGAGAGGGACAGACAUCAAUGCAGGGAUCAAAGAAGUAAAUUAAAUAUUGCAGCUGAAAUCCCUGCUAAAAGAGGGAGCUGCCCCAACCCAUGAGAGGAUGUCAGGGCAGGGUGGGGCCCCGGGCAGCAAGUCAGGAAGGGGUGUUCCUCCAGGAUGAGCUCCUAGGAUCCGGGGGGAUGGUGGGGUUGCCUGGGUGAGGAGAAGGCACAGGUGCAGGCUCUCGGGGAGGCUUUGGGGAGGAGAGGGAAGGCUGGCAUGGGGGUAGGGGGCAGGAAAGUUUAUGUCAUGGAGCUGGGGAGUUGCCAGGGUGGACCACUGUGCAGAGACGCUUGGGCAAGAGCAAAGGUUUUGGUCAUUAUCCUAAGAUUGACGUGUUUUAAACCUGGGGUGGUCGGAUCAGAUUUGCAUUGUAAAAAGGUCAUUCAGCCCUCUGGGAAGUAGCACAGAGGCCGUGUGGUGCUGAAAGGGGUGUUUUGGACUAUUUGGGCCACAAGGAGCCCCAGUCCUUCCUGGAGAAGAAAGAGCCAUCUGAGGAGGGUGUGCAGCAGAGGGAGGGGUUACAGCCAAGAGCUUUUCUGCGUCCCCACUGCCUGGGUUGGGGGCAGCCUUCCAGCCCCCGGGGUGAGUGUUUCACAGAAGAGCUCAGCUAUCAGGCUUCUGCCCAAAGAGAGUCCAUGAGGGAAUAUUCACCAGAGUUUGUGAGUGCCAGGGGCAAAGCAGUGUGCUGUCAUUGAUUUUUCCAAACCUGGGGGCCUUCCGAGGCCCAGAGGCACCAGCAGAGUACAGACGAGUGGAGGCAAAUGCAGAUGCAGUCACCAUAGCCCCAGGUGCCGGUGUUCCCCAGUGGCUUAUUAGAAGGAUUCAUCAGGCAGAUGGAAACUGGGGGAGCAGAGAAGGGGAAGGACGGAGGGCAGUUGCAUUUGGAGCUCUGGGUUCCAGAGUCUGAGGGUCAAAGCAGACUAGGCUCUUUCUGGAAAAAUACAGAAGUGACCGGCAAGGGGAAAAUGGAAAACAGCAUUGUGCAUUGCAGGGCCUGUCGACCAGGGUACACAGGAAACAACAGGUGGCUUCCACAGGCUGCACCUCCAGGCCAACCCAUUUGCAAGCUCAUGACAAUGGACUAUCAUGGCUCCCAUUUUCCAGGAGGGGAAAUGAUGGAGAGGAAGACCAGGAAAGCUGUUUGACACCUACACAAUGAGGAGCAAGAAAUUCAGACCUUCCUCCUCCUGAGGCCCCAUUUCCUUCCCUCUGGGGUUGUUGUGAAGAUGGGAUUCGAUCAUGAAUAUAACAUUCACUGCCGUGAGUGGAACAGUUAUUGAAAUUGUCUACCAGUAGCUUUAACUAGCAGCAUUAAUACUACUAUUAAUCACGGAAGCCAGCCUUUAUUAAGCACUUACUGUAUUCCAGGCACUGUUCUGAGUGCUUUCCAGAGAGUAAUGCAUUUCACCCUCACCACUCUGGAAGGGAGGUGCAAUAAUUAUCCUUGUCUCAUAGAUGAGGAAACUGAGACACACAGGGGAGAAGUCACUUUCCCAGAGUCACAUAGCCGCCAGACCACAGAGCCAAGCCAGCCUGACCCAGCACGUGCUGCAGAAGCUGCUGCUGGAUUUUGUCUGCACAAAAGCCCCAUGGGCAGAUAGGAUUCAUCUUACUUCGUGCCUCAGUGGCUGAAUCUAUAAAACGAAACUGAAUGACUUGGCCAAAGUCACCCCAGCUCAGAGGUGGCAGAGAUAGGAUGGGAAUCCAGGCCUUGACUCCUCCUGCAGUGCCCAACCCCCACCACACAUGACUUCUCUCACACCUUGUACACUGCAGGUAUUUGGCCAGUACCUGGGAGACAUUUCUGAUUUUUUUUCCACGGCAUGUCCAUUUUGAUCACAUUUUCUUCUACAUGUGGGAACAAAACUAGACACAACUUUGCUGAAAGUCUGAGCUAGCCUUACUUUUACCUGCAGCUGAGAAAGUUAGCUUCUUCCCUCACCAAGGCUAAAAGGGCAAGAGAUGACACACCCAGCAAGAAAACCGAAAAUAACAAAAUCAGUCAAUGUGGAACAAACAUUACUCCCCGGCAACUGGGGCCAGGUAUUUAUGCUGCGAUGAGACAAAGGCAGACUCUUUCUCCUUAGAUUUUAGCACUUGCUUCCAAAACAGCAGAGGGCCCUGCAGGGGAACCAGCGGAGGAUGGAUGGCAUCUGGCAUUGAUUGGUAGCCAGGCUGAAUAAUACAUCAAGGGUCUGUGACUUCAUCACAAAAGCCUGGCGGGCUGGCCUCCUGCAAACCAGACUCCCCAGGGACUGGGCCUCACCAGGUGUCUUCAAUUAGAAAUACAGUGGGAGCAAUGCUUCUGAACCGAUUCUGAAAGGCAGGCUCCCGGGCUGAGAGACGGAGUGAAGGGACAUGCUCAAGGUUCCUUCCCCUCCAUGCCUCAUAGUGGGCCCUGCCCUGGGGAUAAGCCUCCUACAGCCCCUCGUGAGCUCCAUCCACUGCCAAAGAUGAGUCAAAUAGCAAGAUAAGGCUGCCUCCUUUUUUUUUUUUUUUUUGAGACAGAGUCUUGCUCUGUCGCCCAGGCUGGAGUGGAGUGGUGCAAUCUCGGCUCACUGCAAGCCCCGCCUCCCGGGUUCAUGCCAUUCUCCUGCCUCAGCCUCCCAAAUAGCUGGGACUACAGGCGCCAGCCAACACGCCUGGCUUUUUUUUUUUUUUGUAUUUUUAGUAGAGACGGGGUUUCACCAUGUUAGCCGGGAUGGUCUCCAUCUCCUGACCUCAUGAUCCACUCGCCUCAGCCUCCCAAAGUGCUGGGAUUACAGGCGUGAGCCACCGCGCCUGGCUAAUUUUUUUUUUUUUUUUGUAUUUUCAGUAGAGAUGGGGUUUCACCGUGUUAGCCAGGAUGGUCUCGAUCUCCAAGAUAAGGCUGCCUCCUAAGCCUCGCAUCUGUUGUCUGUAAGAGAGCCACGGCUGUGCAGGAAGGAGGGAUGAGGCGGUGGAGUCCUGGGUGUCAGGUCCUGUACUACAGGCCGAGCACAGGGAGAGGAGCAAGCUUUCCUCCUUCCCCUCCUUUCUUUCUCCCUUGAACAUUUGCUGAAGUGUCACCUAUGUUCCAGAUGUUGUGCUAGGAAGCAAAAUACAGCACCAAACAAGAUAAGCAUGGUCACUGCCCUGCUCCCAAGGAAGGAUGCUUUGGAAGGCCUUUCACUGAAUAUCUGUCCUCACCUACUCUGUGCCACUCACAGGCUUGGUUGAGGAUCAAACUCUUUUUGCAGAAGAGGAAAGGGAGACUCCAAGAGGGGCAAUGCUCUGUCCCUAGAUCUGUGACCUUGGGCAAGUGGUAGUUUGGACUGAGCAUUCCUAAGCUAUAUCCAGGGCACCCCAUGCUUCCUGGCCUCAUGUUUAGCUCCUUGUGAGAGGGUCAGGUCGCCCACUAGCAGAUGAACUCCUUGCUCAUCCUUGUGUUCCAAGCAGAAACUAACACAAAACCAGACAACCUGGAAUGAAGACAAGAAACCCUUGGCCUGCUGGGUCAUGAAGCUAUUUCUGGCUGCUGUCCAUGGUACUGGCAAGAAGCAUGAAGCCUGCCAAUGUCAGGUGGUUAGAGCCCUCUUGGGAAGCUAAAAGAUUCUUAUCGUCCAAUUCAUGCUUUUCACAGCCUCCUUGGUUUUUCACUGGGUCUUUCCAACAAGUCUUACCUGUCUCCUCUCUCAACUCCCGGUGAGCUUUUCUGUUGGCCAGUGGAUGCCUUGUAUUAGAUGUUUGUCUUUUUUUUUUUUUUCUGGUCUCCUGUUAUUUUCCCAAGUCAUUCUUAACCUUGGAAGCAGAGAACACUCACAACCAGCUGUACUUGGUGUUGCAUAUUAAAUAAUCUUUGUUUUGAUUCAUGUGUUAAAGUCCUUUAUCCAUUCUCUUGCAUUACAGAGACCCCAGUCUUAACACAUAUUUCUUACAUCAUGUUUCCCAAAUGUCAGUCACCCACAUACCUCCCAC
Molecule: long non-coding RNA, 5663 nt
Filed under: Homo sapiens (human)
Lineage: Eukaryota; Metazoa; Chordata; Mammalia; Primates; Hominidae
Description: HSALNT0269669
Source: RNAcentral